This is a long non-coding RNA of Xenopus laevis (African clawed frog), 476 nucleotides long. RefSeq lists it as uncharacterized. The transcript has 3 exons. The record is from RefSeq and is a predicted model, not a curated record. Lineage: Eukaryota; Metazoa; Chordata; Amphibia; Anura; Pipidae.
CCCCUGAUGGCGGCCCUGUAGUUACACCACUGGGCACAAGCACUAUCUCCACAGCAGAGCAGCAGCAGCAGGGGGAGGAUUCAGCACGUUCCCAGACAAUACAAUCCCCACACACACAUAUACACGCACUGUUUGGGCAGUAAUAAGACUGCUGCAUCUCUCCAAUAGCUGCCGGAACACUCUGCACCGCCUACAUGUCUGUGUCUCUGCAGCACACAGGGCACCGCUUCCCCACCACCACCACCUACAGAAGCAGCAGCAGCAUCUUCCAGCUCGGAAGGCAGAGACAGAUGUGACCCCAGCCUCAGAAAGCUGCGUGACCAGUGUCUUUCAUGUGAUGCUAACAGAGCUGGAAUGCUUAUUUGUUCCUUCCUUAAAUCGUAAGAGUGAAGACUUAGAGGAGAAGACUUGGACGAUGCCAUCUGAGAUAUGUCUCAGUGUUCAAGAAAUGCUGACAGGACAAAGAAACUGCCAAU